CGCGAACUUUCUCCUUAGAAUCGGAACGGACGAAGAAGGAAGACAAGGAAGAAGAUCGGAGAUGGCAUCGAAUGCGGCGGUUCCGUUCUGGAGAGCGGCGGGGAUGACAUAUAUAUCGUAUUCAAACAUCUGUGCGAAUAUCGUGAGGAACUGUCUCAAGGAGCCACACAAAGCUGAAGCUCUUACUCGCGAGAAGGUUCACUUCUCUCUCUCCAAAUGGGCUGAUGGAAAGCC
This 234-nucleotide small RNA is filed under the name Arabidopsis thaliana (thale cress). RNAcentral describes it as "ATSL051830". The record is from RNAcentral. Lineage: Eukaryota; Viridiplantae; Streptophyta; Magnoliopsida; Brassicales; Brassicaceae.